This 254-nucleotide ribosomal RNA is filed under the name uncultured bacterium. RNAcentral's name for it is "partial 16S ribosomal RNA". It matches the Rfam family "Bacterial small subunit ribosomal RNA", at positions 524 to 776 of the family's 1533-position model. The record is from RNAcentral.
UACGUAGGGCGCAAGCGUUGUCCGGAAUCAUUGGGCGUAAAGAGCUCGUAGGUGGUCUGUUACGUCUGCUGUGAAAACCUAGGGCUUAACCCUGGGCCUGCAGUGGAUACGGGCAGACUAGAGGUAGGUAGGGGAGAAUGGAAUUCCCGGUGUAGCGGUGAAAUGCGCAGAUAUCGGGAGGAACACCAGUGGCGAAGGCGGUUGCCUGGAGCUUUGCUGACGCUGAUGCGCGAAAGCGUGGGGGAGCGAACAGG